This 84-nucleotide transfer RNA is filed under the name Haematococcus lacustris. RNAcentral's name for it is "Haematococcus pluvialis tRNA". It matches the Rfam family "tRNA". Rfam says of the family: Transfer RNA (tRNA) molecules are approximately 80 nucleotides in length. Their secondary structure includes four short double-helical elements and three loops (D, anti-codon, and T loops). Lineage: Eukaryota; Viridiplantae; Chlorophyta; Chlorophyceae; Chlamydomonadales; Haematococcaceae. The record is from Rfam by way of RNAcentral.
CCGGUCUUAGCUCAGUUGGUAGAGCACGUGACUGUAGAAGUUGCAAAUAUCAUGGGGUCGCUGGUUCGAUUCCGGCAGACCGGA